RNAcentral lists this long non-coding RNA (1782 nucleotides) under Homo sapiens (human). RNAcentral describes it as "SLC9A3 antisense RNA 1 (SLC9A3-AS1)". Lineage: Eukaryota; Metazoa; Chordata; Mammalia; Primates; Hominidae. The record is from RNAcentral.
CUGGCGUGGGCGAGGCGGGGCUCGGGGCUCGCGGUCGCUGUAGCCGCGCGGGGAUCUGGGGUUUCUCUGGGACAGCGGCGGCGGCGGUGGGCGGACCGUGGCGCGGGGACGAGCGGCCGGUUAGCGGCGUGUCGGAGCCGGUGUCACCUGCGGGAGAGGAAGGCGAGAGAGGGCAGCGGCUAGUCAGCCUUCGGAGAGCCCCACGGCGGCAGGGGAGACCUCGCCGGGGCCGUCACCUGCUGGGUGCCUUGGAAAGUUAGGGUCACCGGGAAGGUUAGGGUCACGUGCCUUUCAGGUUGCGGGCCCUUCCCCCACAUCCAUGACCCCACACGCCACAGGCAGCACAGCUUGGCCGCCUUCUUGUUCUGGUUGAGCCCCAGCUUGGUCGACUUGAAGGACUCCAGGCGCUUCCGCAUGGUCCUGUGGAAGAUUUCCCGGUCCUGUUUCUCGUCCUCCGUGGGCGUGAGCUCGUGUCGGCUGUACAGAUGCUUGUACUGCGGGAUCAGGCACGGAGGUCACAGCUGUGCCCACCGCCGGACAUUCUCGCCCUCCUGCCGCAGGAGCUGAGCACGGAUCCCCCGUGGUCCCAGGAGGGGACGAGGAAGCCGCCCCACGGGGUCCCUGCGGGGUCCUCCAGCCCCCAGCCCGCAGUGCCCACCUCCUGCCGCGGCUUGUACAGGCCAGGAGCCACCACAGCCCUGUCUGUGACUCUCAGCUCCCGAGGCUGGGCUCUUCCCCAGGGAAGCUGCAUGACCAUGGCCACAUACAGGAGGAGACCCUAAAACUCCAUUGGCCUCAUGUCCAGAACUGAAUCAGCCAGUGCCAGAGCCUGCUGCAGCCCCGACCCGGCAGAGCAAGCGGCUCUGCUACCUCAGCCACGUAGCUGAUGGCAUCCUUCAGGUUCAGCUCGUGGAAGACAUUCAGGAUCCGGUCUCGAGACUUCUGGGCCGACCGUCUCAUGAGGACCCUGCUGAGGAACUUCCUGUCGAAGUGGGACCACCUGUAGGGACAGACCUUGGGUGUGAGCCUCAGGUGACAGGCGCCCUAGAGCCCGCCGGACGCGUGGCCCGGCCCCUUCUCUCCUGAAUUUUGUUUGCUAUAGUGACCCUGUAGGCGCGUUUAAAAUGAGGGAAGCAGCCCCUGCCACACGCCCAGGCCGUCCGCCGUUCUCCCGCCUGUCCUGUUGGAUGGAGGCCGUUAGACGCAUAUGAAACUGCAUGCCGCCUCCUCCAGAGGGUGGCUCAGGACACGCCUAACGGAAUUAGAGUAUUCGCUGGUUAUCCAGAUCAGAAGGGACGGUGGCCUGGCCGGACUUAGAGGAAACUCUGGGGCACAAGGAGGUGAUGCCUGUCACUUGGACAUGGGUGCAGCCGCCAGAGCCGCCCUCCAGGGCACAGGGUGGGCCCGGGUGAGCUUGUGUGCUCACACCUGGGCAGGCCCCGCGGCAGCAAUGGCAGCUCUCCUGUACAGGCUGAGUUUCAGCCACACCAAGAAGUCAAAGCUAACCGAGGCUGUGCCUUCCGAGACCCCCGGGAUGGCCCCUGGGAGGCCAAGGAGUCGGGGACUGGGUACCCGGAGCAGAGUCACUGUGGCCACGGAGAACCGCAGCUGAGCUUUAUGAAGCCACGUGGCCACACCUCCCGGUGCCUCCACCCCAAGCAAACACAGAUCGCUCAGAAAAUGGGAACCCAGGGCAAAUUGUAUGUGCUCCUUACUGGGUUUAUUAUAAGUGUCACAUGUUUUUUAUAAUAAAACAUAGGUGAUUUCACCUUAAUGGACAAA